GACGAACGCUGGCGGCGUGCUUAACACAUGCAAGUCGAACGAUGAAGUUCCUUCGGGAAUGGAUUAGUGGCGAACGGGUGAGGAACACGUGAGAAACCUGCCUUUCAUUUUGGGAUAACUCCGGGAAACCGGGGCUAAAACCGAAUACUCCGUCUCGGCGGCAUCGCUGAGCCGGGAAAAAAUUUUGAUGAAAGGUGGUCUCGCGGCCUAACAGCUAGUUGGUGAGGUAAUGGCUCACCAAGGCAACGAAGGGUAGCCGGCCUGAGCGGGCGACCGGCCAAACUGGGAGUGAGGCACGGCCCAGACUCCUACGGGAGGAAGCAGUGGGGAAGAUUGGGCAAUGGGCGCAAGCCUGACCCAGCGACGCCGCGUGAGGGAUGAAGGCCUUCGGGUUGUAAACCUCUUUCAGUAGGGAAGAAGCGAAAGUGACGGUACCUAAAGAAGAAGCACCGGCUAACUAUGUGCCAGCCGCCGCCGUAA
RNAcentral lists this ribosomal RNA (480 nucleotides) under uncultured bacterium. RNAcentral's name for it is "partial 16S ribosomal RNA". It matches the Rfam family "Bacterial small subunit ribosomal RNA", at positions 28 to 523 of the family's 1533-position model. The record is from RNAcentral.